Molecule: unclassified non-coding RNA, 367 nt
Filed under: fungal sp.
Lineage: Eukaryota; Fungi
Description: partial internal transcribed spacer region
Rfam family: Eukaryotic small subunit ribosomal RNA (bases 1-46)
Source: RNAcentral
AAGUCGUAACAAGGUUUCCGUAGGUGAACCUGCGGAAGGAUCAUUAACACAUCCUUUUCUCUAUAUACAUUGGUGAAUUGUCGGAACCAGCGGAAAUGGGAUCUGCUUCGGGUAAGGUUUGCGAUCUCUUCGGAGGUAUUACUCGAACGCUGCAGGACAUCCUUCGGGAUGAGUCUGAAAUGUAUCUCUCCGCCAACGGUAAUCAGUUUAACAAACCUAGCUGGCCCCCUUUUUUUUAACUUGAUUUUUGUACUGAUUUCGGCUUUCAGAUCGAGAAGGGCUCUCGGGCACUUUUCUCUGGGCCUUUGAUGGAGAAAUCCAUUAACAAACAACAACACAACUCUUAACAGCGGAUAUCUCGGUUCUC